UCCUUCCAAUUAUCAAACUUUUAUAUAUCUAUAUAUGUAAAGAUGUUUGGACUUUAAUUGAGAAGAGUAGUAUUAUUAUAAUAUUACUUUCUUAAAAACCAGAAAUAUUUUGUUUUGGUUUUCUUCCAACUCAUUUUGUAUUUAAUAUAACAAAUGAGUGUGAAUGUUAACAAACAACAAUAAUAAUACCUUU
This 193-nucleotide unclassified non-coding RNA is filed under the name uncultured Pezizaceae. RNAcentral describes it as "sequence contains ITS2". Lineage: Eukaryota; Fungi; Ascomycota; Pezizomycetes; Pezizales; Pezizaceae. The record is from RNAcentral.